GAUGAACGCUGGCGGCGUGCCUAAUACAUGCAAGUCGAGCGAACGGACGAGAAGCUUGCUCCUCUGAUGUUAGCGGCGGACGGGUGAGUAACACGUGGAUAACCUACCUAUAAGACUGGGAUAACUUCGGGAAACCGUAGCUAAUACCGGAUAAUAUUUUGAACCGCAUGGUUCAAUAGUGAAAGACGGUUUUGCUGUCACUUAUAGAUGGAUCCGCGCUGCAUUAGCUAGUUGGUAAGGUAACGGCUUACCAAGGCAACGAUGCAUAGCCGACCUGAGAGGGUGAUCGGCCACACUGGAACUGAGACACGGUCCUGACUCCUACGGGAGGCAGCAGUAGGGAAUCUUCCGCAAUGGGCGAAAGCCUGACGGAGCAACGCCGCGUGAGUGAUGAAGGUCUUCGGAUCGUAAAACUCUGUUAUUAGGGAAGAACAUAUGUGUAAGUAACUAUGCACAUCUUGACGGUACCUAAUCAGAAAGCCACGGCUAACUACGUG
This 497-nucleotide ribosomal RNA is filed under the name uncultured bacterium. Its description in RNAcentral is "partial 16S ribosomal RNA". It matches the Rfam family "Bacterial small subunit ribosomal RNA", at positions 28 to 507 of the family's 1533-position model. The record is from RNAcentral.